Molecule: non-coding RNA, 1839 nt
Organism: Macaca mulatta (Rhesus monkey)
Lineage: Eukaryota; Metazoa; Chordata; Mammalia; Primates; Cercopithecidae
Source: RefSeq, a predicted model, not a curated record
GUAGUUCAACAUUAGAAGAGAUCACUAGUGAGGUGCUCAGCCUUAUAUACCGGUAGAAGACUGGAGAGAGAAUGGAGCCAGAACCCAAGAUAAAAGCCUGCAUUUCCCACCCUUUCUUCCUAACAAGAGUGGCUACGUCCCAGCCCAUGCAAACAGCCUGAAAAGCUGAUGUAAUGACUGGAUCUUCAGCAGCCAUUUUGAACAAGAGGUAAAAGCUAGAGGCUGAGGAAUGAUGGAGCAGAAAGAAAGGAAGUGGGGUUCCUAUUAACAUCCUGAAGUUAACUAUCAGACCUGGACUGACCAACGCUUUCUGGCCUUCUUUUAUGAGAGAAAAAUGCACUGUUAUUUAAACCACUAUACUUUUGUUUUCUUUUUUGGGGUACAGACAGCUGAACCUAAUCCUGUCCCAAAUCCUAAUCCUAUCUAACUAGUAUUAGCUAUCAGCCCAUGCUUAUACUGGAGAAUGACAUUUAACAAAAUAAGAUGUUAAAGUUCUAACUAAUUGUAAUAACCAUGCAGUUUUCUCAUGCUGAACAAAGUUAAAGAAAUAUAAUGCGUAUUUCCUAAAGAGUGUCAUUUUUUUGAAAGAUAACGGGACAAAGUAACAUAAAAAUCUACACAUAAUUAUAUAAACAUUGCUUUGACAUACAACACAUUUUUAUUGUGUCUGUGAAUGCAUUACUUGGUAAUAAAAUUGCAGUUAUGAAUAAAUGAUACUUGGUAAACUAUAACAUAAUAGGAGGAGAAGGUAUUAACACUGUGAUUUUACGGGGUUGAAUCAGUUUUAGUUUCUUAUACAACUCAGAGCUUUAUGUUAUUUAAACUGUCUCAACACUGGCACAAGGUAGCAUUUUACUUAUCAAAACACUGGAGGAGGCAGUCUAUUUUAUGUGGGAAUAAUGGUUUUUUAACAGUGUUUGAUUAGGAGACAUUAGGAACCUUGCCUUGAAAACCAUUAGCAAAUUUAUCUAGAAGAAUUUACGUUACAUCCUAAAACAACCAGCCACUAAAGACAUCCUAAACUGCUAACUAUGCCAAUUUGCCUCAGAUGCUUGCCAUAUAAGCUGCUUUCAGGAACCAGCAAUGAAUAUCAUAGAUACUUGAGGAUUAAAGGUUGAAGGAUAUUGACAUUCAAAGGAGAUGAAGCCAGAAACCCAGCACAGCCCCCCCCCCGCCAAAAAAAAAAAAAAUAAACAAACUUGCAUUUUACUUUGGAGUGAAAUUUCUUUGCUAUCUCCAAAGAUUUUAACUUUUGGUUUCUCAACUAGCCCUAGCAAUAUAAGGUUCUGACUAAUGACUCUUCCCAACAUUGUCAAACUUAAUUCAAACUUGAAAUCAAUCCUCUUAUUUUCCCCCUAAAGCAAAGCACCUCACAAUAAUAAUAUGAGUACAUCUGAGUGGCCAAUUUAAAAGUUUAAGUCAUUCUUUUGUAAUCAGUGCUAGAAUUAACUAGUGAUCUGUUUCAGUCUUUUUUUUUUUUCUUUUUUUGGCCAGGAAUAACAAAAUAAUAGAAACUCCAUAUAUAUUAGAAACAGAUCUGUAGGUUUGAGCCUUAUAUAUUAUUACAACAUGGCCAUCAAGAGGAAAUCUCAAGACAACUGUAUAUUGUGCUUGCCCUAUUUUGUUCAAACCCUGAUAAUUUUAAAUAAAUAGUAAUGUUCAACAUUGACUGAUGACAUUAUCUAUCAACCACAUCACACCUGGUACACAGUAGAUAAUAAAUGACAGCUGUUAUACCUUCCUUCUUGAAACAAAAUCCUUUCAUUUCAUUCUCAUUUUGUGUCAAGCUUCUACAAUUCAUAAAAAUCAUAAAAUAAUAAAAGGAAUGGUCCAACAUUA